RNAcentral lists this transfer RNA (75 nucleotides) under bacterium. Its description in RNAcentral is "tRNA-Gly". It matches the Rfam family "tRNA". Rfam says of the family: Transfer RNA (tRNA) molecules are approximately 80 nucleotides in length. The record is from RNAcentral.
GCGGGAGUAGUUCAGUGGUAGAACACCACCUUGCCAAGGUGGGGGUCGCGAGUUCGAACCUCGUCUCCCGCUCAA